GGUGUUGUGUCUUAGAUGGUUAAAGUGCCUGUCUAGUAAACAGGAGAUCCUGGGUUCGAAUCCCAGCGGUGCUU
This 74-nucleotide transfer RNA is filed under the name Megalops atlanticus (tarpon). It matches the Rfam family "tRNA". Rfam says of the family: Transfer RNA (tRNA) molecules are approximately 80 nucleotides in length. Their secondary structure includes four short double-helical elements and three loops (D, anti-codon, and T loops). Lineage: Eukaryota; Metazoa; Chordata; Actinopteri; Elopiformes; Megalopidae. The record is from Rfam by way of RNAcentral.